This 222-nucleotide unclassified non-coding RNA is filed under the name plant metagenome. Its description in RNAcentral is "partial contains small subunit ribosomal RNA, internal transcribed spacer 1, and 5.8S ribosomal RNA". The record is from RNAcentral.
UUUCCGUAGGUGAACCUGCGGAAGGAUCAUUAAAGAGAAUAUGCCCUUCGGGUAGAUCUCCCACCCUUUGUUUAUGUUACCUUUGUUGCUUUGGCAGGCCCGUCUUCGGUCCACCGGCUUCGGCUGGUCAGUGCUUGCCAGAGGACCCAAAACUCUUAUUAUUAAUGUCGUCUGAGUACUAUAUAAUAGUUAAAACUUUCAACAACGGAUCUCUUGGUUCUG